UACGGGGGGGGCAAGCGUUGUUCGGAAUUACUGGGCGUAAAGGGUUUGUAGGUGGCUUGCUAAGUCAGACGUGAAAUCCCUCAGCUUAACUGGGGAACUGCGUCUGAUACUGGCGAGCUUGAGUGCAGGAGAGGAACGCGGAAUUCCAGGUGUAGCGGUGAAAUGCGUAGAUAUCUGGAGGAACACCGGUGGCGAAGGCGGCGUUCUGGACUGCAACUGACACUGUAAAACGAAAGCCAGGGGAGCAAACGGG
RNAcentral lists this ribosomal RNA (253 nucleotides) under uncultured bacterium. Its description in RNAcentral is "partial 16S ribosomal RNA". It matches the Rfam family "Bacterial small subunit ribosomal RNA", at positions 524 to 776 of the family's 1533-position model. The record is from RNAcentral.